Molecule: small nuclear RNA, 105 nt
Organism: Zalophus californianus (California sea lion)
Lineage: Eukaryota; Metazoa; Chordata; Mammalia; Carnivora; Otariidae
Source: Ensembl
GCUCAUUUCAGUAGUGCAUAUCCUAAAACUGGAAAGAUACCAAGAAAAUUAGCCGAGCCCCUGUCCAAAGACGACACCUAAAUUGGUGAAGCAUUCCACAUUUUU